This 398-nucleotide ribosomal RNA is filed under the name uncultured bacterium. RNAcentral describes it as "partial 16S ribosomal RNA". It matches the Rfam family "Bacterial small subunit ribosomal RNA", at positions 523 to 918 of the family's 1533-position model. The record is from RNAcentral.
AUACGUAGGGUGCGAGCGUUGUCCGGAAUUACUGGGCGUAAAGAGCUCGUAGGUGGUUUGUCGCGUCGUCUGUGAAAUUCCGGGGCUUAACUCCGGGCGUGCAGGCGAUACGGGCAUAACUUGAGUACUGUAGGGGAGACUGGAAUUCCUGGUGUAGCGGUGAAAUGCGCAGAUAUCAGGAGGAACACCGGUGGCGAAGGCGGGUCUCUGGGCAGUAACUGACGCUGAGGAGCGAAAGCAUGGGUAGCGAACAGGAUUAGAUACCCUGGUAGUCCAUGCCGUAAACGGUGGGCGCUAGGUGUAGGGGUCUUCCACGGCUUCUGUGCCGUAGCUAACGCAUUAAGCGCCCCGCCUGGGGAGUACGGCCGCAAGGCUAAAACUCAAAUGAAUUGACGGGG